AGAUUGAACGCUGGCGGCAGGCCUAACACAUGCAAGUCGAGCGGUAGAGAGGUGCUUGCAUCUCUUGAGAGCGGCGGACGGGUGAGUAAUGCCUAGGAAUCUGCCUAGUGGUGGGGGAUAACGUUCGGAAACGGACGCUAAUACCGCAUACGUCCUACGGGAGAAAGCGGGGGACCUUCGGGCCUCGCGCCAUUAGAUGAGCCUAGGUCGGAUUAGCUAGUUGGUGAGGUAAUGGCUCACCAAGGCGACGAUCCGUAACUGGUCUGAGAGGAUGAUCAGUCACACUGGAACUGAGACACGGUCCAGACCUCCGUACGGGAGCAGCAGGUGGGAAUUG
RNAcentral lists this ribosomal RNA (337 nucleotides) under uncultured soil bacterium. RNAcentral describes it as "bacterial SSU rRNA". It matches the Rfam family "Bacterial small subunit ribosomal RNA", at positions 26 to 364 of the family's 1533-position model. The record is from RNAcentral.